UGUAUUAUCUGGCAGGGGAGGGGAGGAUACCAUGAACCUGAAAGUGGUUUUCCCAGGCAAGUUUUCAUUGCACCCAAAGGUGUGCUUACUGCUGUGAUUUCUCAUAAUACGGGAAACUUGACUGAAUAAUUUAUGGCAGUGAGAGAAGCAUGAAUACAGCCUCCCU
Molecule: small nuclear RNA, 166 nt
Organism: Grammomys surdaster
Lineage: Eukaryota; Metazoa; Chordata; Mammalia; Rodentia; Muridae
Product: U1 spliceosomal RNA
Exons: 1
Source: RefSeq, a predicted model, not a curated record